Molecule: ribosomal RNA, 545 nt
Filed under: uncultured bacterium
Lineage: Bacteria
Description: partial 16S ribosomal RNA
Rfam family: Bacterial small subunit ribosomal RNA
Source: RNAcentral
UGGGGAAUAUUGGACAAUGGGCGCAAGCCUGAUCCAGCCAUGCCGCGUGAGUGAUGAAAGGCCCUAGGGUUGUAAAGCUCUUUCGCCAGGGACGAUAAUGACGGUACCUGGAUAAGAAGCCCCGGCUAACUUCGUGCCAGCAGCCGCGGUAAUACGAAGGGGGCUAGCGUUGUUCGGAAUCACUGGGCGUAAAGCGCACGUAGGCGGAUCUUUAAGUCAGGGGUGAAAUCCCGAGGCUCAACCUCGGAACUGCCUUUGAUACUGGAGGUCUCGAGUUCGGGAGAGGUGAGUGGAACUGCGAGUGUAGAGGUGAAAUUCGUAGAUAUUCGCAAGAACACCAGUGGCGAAGGCGGCUCACUGGCCCGAUACUGACGCUGAGGUGCGAAAGCGUGGGGAGCAAAACAGGAUUAGAUACCCUGGUAGUCCACGCCGUAAAACGAUGGAUGCUAGCCGUUGGGGAGCUUGCUCUUCAGUGGCGCAGCUAACGCUUUAAGCAUCCCGCCUGGGGAGUACGGUCGCAAGAUUAAAACCUUAAAUGAAUUGAC